GGUUGCGGCCAUAUCUACCAGAAAGCACCGUUUCCCGUCCGAUCAACUGUGGUUAAGCUGGUAAGCGCCGGAACGAGUAGUGUAGUGGGUG
Molecule: ribosomal RNA, 91 nt
Filed under: Bifidobacterium adolescentis
Lineage: Bacteria; Bacillati; Actinomycetota; Actinomycetes; Bifidobacteriales; Bifidobacteriaceae
Source: RNAcentral